RNAcentral lists this transfer RNA (88 nucleotides) under Rothia koreensis. RNAcentral describes it as "Kocuria koreensis tRNA-Ser". It matches the Rfam family "tRNA". Rfam says of the family: Transfer RNA (tRNA) molecules are approximately 80 nucleotides in length. Their secondary structure includes four short double-helical elements and three loops (D, anti-codon, and T loops). Lineage: Bacteria; Bacillati; Actinomycetota; Actinomycetes; Micrococcales; Micrococcaceae. The record is from RNAcentral. RNAcentral also lists the same sequence under 2 other names.
GGAAGCUUGUCCGAGCGGCCUAAGGAGCCGGUCUUGAAAACCGGUGUGCGGCAACCCCGCACCAUGGGUUCAAAUCCCAUAGCUUCCG